GGCUCAGGAUGAACGCUAGCGGCAGGCUUAACACAUGCAAGUCGAGGGGUAACAGGUCACUUCGGUGAUGCUGACGACCGGCGCACGGGUGAGUAACGCGUAUGGAACCUACCUGAAACAGGGGGAUAGCUUCCGGAAACGGGGAUUAAUACCCCAUACGAUUCAUUUGUGGCCUCACAAAUGGAUAAAAGCUACGGCGGUUUCAGAUGGUCAUGCGUACCAUUAGUUAGUUGGUGAGGUAAAGGCUCACCAAGGCGAUGAUGGUUAGGGGUCCUGAGAGGGUAGUCCCCCACACUGGUACUGAGACACGGACCAGACUCCUACGGGAGGCAGCAGUGAGGAAUAUUGGUCAAUGGGCGCUAGCCUGAACCAGCCAUGCCGCGUGCAGGAAGACGGCCCUACGGGUUGUAAACUGCUUUUCUGCAGGAAGAAUAUAUAGUCUUAGGGCUAUAUUGACGGUACUGCAGGAAUAAGCAUCGGCUAACUCCGUGCCAGCAGCCGCGGUAAUACGGAGGAUGCAAGCGUUAUCCGGAUUCAUUGGGUUUAAAGGGUGCGCAGGCUGUAAAGCAAGUCAGUGGUGAAAGCCCUGGGCUUAACUCAGGGAUUGCCAUUGAAACUGUUUUACUAGAGUGUAGUAGAGGACGGCGGAAUGAGUUGUGUAGCGGUGAAAUGCAUAGAUAUAACUCAGAACACCUAUUGCGUAGGCAGCUGUCUAUACUACAACUGACGCUGAGGCACGAAAGCGUGGGGAGCGAACAGGAUUAGAUACCCUGGUAGUCCACGCUGUAAACGAUGAUCACUCGUUGUUGGCUACUUAGUAGUCAGUGACCAAGGGAAACCGAUAAGUGAUCCACCUGGGGAGUACGU
Molecule: ribosomal RNA, 867 nt
Filed under: uncultured organism
Description: bacterial SSU rRNA
Rfam family: Bacterial small subunit ribosomal RNA
Source: RNAcentral